AGAGUUUGAUCCUGGCUCAGAAUCAACGCUGGCGGCGUGCCUAACACAUGCAAGUCGCGCGCGAAAGGGGGGCAACCCCCAAGUAGAGCGGCGCACGGGUGAGUAACGCGUGGGUGAUCUGCCUCCGAGUGGGGAAUAACAGCGGGAAACUGCUGCUAAUACCGCAUGACAUCCUCGAGUCGCAUCGGGGAUCAAAGCCGGGGACCGCAAGGCCUGGCGCUUGGAGAUGAGCCCGCGUCCGAUUAGCUAGUUGGCGGGGUAAUGGCCCACCAAGGCUUCGAUCGGUAGCCGGCCUGAGAGGGCGGACGGCCACACUGGGACUGAGACACGGCCCAGACUCCUACGGGAGGCAGCAGUGGGGAAUUUUUCGCAAUGGGGGAAACCCUGACGAAGCAACGCCGCGUGGAGGAUGAAGGCCUUCGGGUCGUAAACUCCUGUCGACCGGGAAGAAUGCACCCGACCUAAUACGUCGAAGUGUUGACUGUACCGGUGGAGGAAGCCACGGCUAACUCUGUGCCAGCAGCCGCGGUAAUACAGAGGUGGCAAGCGUUGUUCGGAAUUACUGGGCGUAAAGGGCGCGUAGGCGGUUUGUCAAGUCCCGUGUGAAAGCCCCCGGCUCAACCGGGGAACGGCGCGGGAAACUAGCAGGCUUGAGUUCGGGAGAGGGAAGCGGAAUUCCGGGUGUAGCGGUGAAAUGCGCAGAUAUCCGGAGGAACACCGGUGGCGAAGGCGGCUUCCUGGACCGACACUGAGCUGAGGCGCGAAAGCUAGGGGAGCAAACGGGAUUAGAUACCCCAGUAGUCC
Molecule: ribosomal RNA, 804 nt
Filed under: uncultured bacterium
Lineage: Bacteria
Description: bacterial SSU rRNA
Rfam family: Bacterial small subunit ribosomal RNA
Source: RNAcentral